UGGGGAAUAUUGGACAAUGGGCGCAAGCCUGAUCCAGCCAUGCCGCGUGAGUGAUGAAGGCCCUAGGGUUGUAAAGCUCUUUCACCGGUUAAGAUAAUGACGGUAACCGGAGAAGAAGCCCCGGCUAACUUCGUGCCAGCAGCCGCGGUAAUACGAAGGGGGCUAGCGUUGUUCGGAUUUACUGGGCGUAAAGCGCACGUAGGCGGACUUUUAAGUCAGGGGUGGAAUCCCGGGGCUCAACCCCGGAACUGCCUUUGAUACUGGAAGUCUUGAGUAUGGGAGAGGUGAGUGGAAUUCCGAGUGUAGAGGUGAAAUUCGUAGAUAUUCGGAGGAACACCAGUGGGGAAAGCGGCUCACUGGACCAGUACUGACGCUGAGGUGCGAAAGCGUAGGGAGCAAACAGG
This 404-nucleotide ribosomal RNA is filed under the name Actinomycetes bacterium. RNAcentral describes it as "Actinobacteria bacterium partial 16S ribosomal RNA". It matches the Rfam family "Bacterial small subunit ribosomal RNA", at positions 355 to 776 of the family's 1533-position model. The record is from RNAcentral. Lineage: Bacteria; Bacillati; Actinomycetota; Actinomycetes.